This 332-nucleotide ribosomal RNA is filed under the name uncultured bacterium. RNAcentral describes it as "bacterial SSU rRNA". It matches the Rfam family "Bacterial small subunit ribosomal RNA", at positions 568 to 898 of the family's 1533-position model. The record is from RNAcentral.
UGCGUAGGCGGUUUGGUAAGUCUGAUGUGAAAUCUAUGGGCUCAACUCAUAGUCUGCAUCGGAAACUGCCGGGCUGGAGUGUGGGAGAGGUGAGUGGAAUUUCCGGUGUAGCGGUGAAAUGCGUAGAUAUCGGAAGGAACACCUGUGGCGAAAGCGGCUCACUGGACCACAACUGACGCUGAUGCACGAAAGCUAGGGGAGCAAACAGGAUUAGAUACCCUGGUAGUCCUAGCCCUAAACGAUGACUGCUUGGUGUGACGGGUACCCAAUCCCGCCGUGCCGUAGCUAACGCGUUAAGCAGUCCGCCUGGGGAGUACGGUCGCAAGGCUGAA